AAACAUGACCUAAGUGAGGAGUUUGAAAUGUAUGACUUGGGAAAUCUCUCAUAUUUUCUUGGCAUCGGAUUUUACAAGAGUAGUAGAGGUUUGAUGAUGCACAAAAGAAGAUAUACAUGCAAAAUACUCAAGAGAUUUGAGAUGCAAGAUUACAAGAAUCAGAUUGCAACAUCAUGACGAAGGAAGUGCAGGUCGAAGUGUUUAAGAAGUUAAGU
Molecule: long non-coding RNA, 215 nt
Filed under: Lathyrus oleraceus (garden pea)
Lineage: Eukaryota; Viridiplantae; Streptophyta; Magnoliopsida; Fabales; Fabaceae
Description: Pisum sativum (pea) long non-coding RNA (PSAT_LNC032101)
Source: RNAcentral